GACGAACGCUGGCGGCGUGCCUAAUACAUGCAAGUCGAACGCUUCUUUCCUCCCGAGUGCUUGCACUCAAUUGGAAAGAGGAGUGGCGGACGGGUGAGUAACACGUGGGUAACCUACCCAUCAGAGGGGGAUAACACUUGGAAACAGGUGCUAAUACCGCAUAACAGUUUAUGCCGCAUGGCAUAAGAGUGAAAGUCGCUUUCGGGUGUCGCUGAUGGAUGGACCCGCGGUGCAUUAGCUAGUUGGUGAGGUAACGGCUCACCAAGGCCACGAUGCAUAGCCGACCUGAGAGGGUGAUCGGCCACACUGGGACUGAGACACGGCCCAGACUCCUACGGGAGGCAGCAGUAGGGAAUCUUCGGCAAUGGACGAAAGUCUGACCGAGCAACGCCGCGUGAGUGAAGAAGGUUUUCGGAUCGUAAAACUCUGUUGUUAGAGAAGAACAAGGACGUUAGUAACUGAACGUCCCCUGACGGUAUCUAACCAGAAAGCCACGGCUAACUACGUG
Molecule: ribosomal RNA, 508 nt
Filed under: uncultured bacterium
Lineage: Bacteria
Description: partial 16S ribosomal RNA
Rfam family: Bacterial small subunit ribosomal RNA
Source: RNAcentral